UUUCCGUAGGUGAACCUGCGGAAGGAUCAUUACCGAGAGUGCCCCUCCGGGGGCGACCUCCCACCCGUGAUUAAUUUACCGACGUUGCUUUGGCGGGCGGUGGGCCCCGGCCCACCUGACGUCCGUCAGGGGCUUUUCUCAAACUCUUUUGUUGCCGUCUGAGUACAAACGUAAAUCUUCAAAAAACUUUCAACAACGGAUCUCUUGGUUCCGGCAUCGAUGAAGAACGCAGCGAAAUGCGAUAAGUAAUGUGAAUUGCAGAAUUCAGUGAAUCAUCGAAUCUUUGAACGCACAUUGCGCCCCUUGGUAUUCCGAGGGGCAUGCCUGUCCGAGCGUCAUUGCACCACUCAAGCUCCGCUUGGUGUUGGGCCUCGCCCCCUGCGGCGGCCCCGAAAAGCAGUGGCGGUCCGGCGAGACUUCAAGCGUAGUAGAAAAACUUUUCCCGUUUGGCAAGCUUCGAGCCGUGGCCCGCCAGUCGACCGUGCUUAGGGCACUCUCUCUUUCUAUGGUUGACCUCGGAUCAGGUAGGGAUACCCGCUGAACUUAA
Molecule: ribosomal RNA, 547 nt
Filed under: Leprocaulon knudsenii
Lineage: Eukaryota; Fungi; Ascomycota; Lecanoromycetes; Leprocaulales; Leprocaulaceae
Description: eukaryotic LSU rRNA
Rfam family: 5.8S ribosomal RNA (bases 185-338)
Source: RNAcentral